Molecule: ribosomal RNA, 443 nt
Filed under: uncultured bacterium
Lineage: Bacteria
Description: partial 16S ribosomal RNA
Rfam family: Bacterial small subunit ribosomal RNA
Source: RNAcentral
CCUACGGGUGGCAGCAGUGGGGAAUAUUGGGCAAUGGGCGCAAGCCUGACCCAGCAACGCCGCGUGAAGGAAGAAGGCCUUCGGGUUGUAAACUUCUUUUUUUGGGGACGAAGAAAGUGACGGUACCCAAGGUAUAAGCCACGGCUAACUACGUGCCAGCAGCCGCGGCAAUACGUAGGUGGCAAGCGUUAUCCGGAUUUAUUGGGGGUAAAGGGCGUGUAGGCGGGAUUGCAAGUCAGAUGUGAAAACCACGGGCUCAACCUGUGGCCUGCAUUUGAAACUGGAGUUCUUGAGUGCUGGAGAGGCAAUCGGAAUGCCGGGUGUAGCGGUGAAAUGCGUAGAUAUACGGAGGAACACCAGUGGCGAAGGCGGAUUGCUGGACAGUAACUGACGCUGAGGCGCGAAAGCGUGGGGAGCAAACAGGAUUAGAUACCCUGGUAGUC